CAGGAUGAACGCUGGCGGCGUGCCUAAUACAUGCAAGUCGAGCGAACAGAUGAGGAGCUUGCUCCUCUGACGUUAGCGGCGGACGGGUGAGUAACACGUGGAUAACCUACCUAUAAGACUGGGAUAACUUCGGGAAACCGGAGCUAAUACCGGAUAAUAUAUUGAACCGCAUGGUUCAAUAGUGAAAGACGGUUUUGCUGUCACUUAUAGAUGGAUCCGCGCCGCAUUAGCUAGUUGGUAAGGUAACGGCUUACCAAGGCAACGAUGCGUAGCCGACCUGAGAGGGUGAUCGGCCACACUGGAACUGAGACACGGUCCAGACUCCUACGGGAGGCAGCAGUAGGGAAUCUUCCGCAAUGGGCGAAAGCCUGACGGAGCAACGCCGCGUGAGUGAUGAAGGUCUUCGGAUCGUAAAACUCUGUUAUUAGGGAAGAACAAAUGUGUAAGUAACUAUGCACGUCUUGACGGUACCUAAUCAGAAAGCCACGGCUAACUACGUGCCAGCAGCCGCGGUAAUACGUAGGUGGCAAGCGUUAUCCGGAAUUAUUGGGCGUAAAGCGCGCGUAGGCGGUUUUUUAAGUCUGAUGUGAAAGCCCACGGCUCAACCGUGGAGGGUCAUUGGAAACUGGAAAACUUGAGUGCAGAAGAGGAAAGUGGAAUUCCAUGUGUAGCGGUGAAAUGCGCAGAGAUAUGGAGGAACACCAGUGGCGAAGGCGACUUUCNUGGUCUGUAACUGACGCUGAUGUGCGAAAGCGUGGGGAUCAAACAGGAUUA
Molecule: ribosomal RNA, 774 nt
Filed under: uncultured Staphylococcus sp.
Lineage: Bacteria; Bacillati; Bacillota; Bacilli; Caryophanales; Staphylococcaceae
Description: bacterial SSU rRNA
Rfam family: Bacterial small subunit ribosomal RNA
Source: RNAcentral